UGUAGCUCAAUGGCAGAGUCCUUGUCUAACAUUCAUGAGGUCCUGGGUUCAAUUCCCAGCA
Molecule: transfer RNA, 61 nt
Filed under: Heterocephalus glaber (naked mole-rat)
Lineage: Eukaryota; Metazoa; Chordata; Mammalia; Rodentia; Bathyergidae
Rfam family: tRNA
About the family: Transfer RNA (tRNA) molecules are approximately 80 nucleotides in length.
Source: Rfam by way of RNAcentral